GAUGAACGCUGGCGGCGUGCCUAAUACAUGCCAGUCGAGCGAACAGACGAGGAGCUUGCUACUCUGACGUUAGCGGCGGAUGGGUGAGUAACACGUGGCUCACCUACCUAUAAGACUGGGAUAACUUCGGGACUCCGGAGCUAAUACCGGCUAAUAUCUUGUACCGCAGGGUUCAAUAGUUAAAGACGGUUUUGCUGUCUCUUAUCGAUGGAUCCGCGCCGCAUUAGCUAGUUGGUCAGGUAACGGCUUACCAAGGCGACGAUGCGUAGCCGACCUGGGCGGGUGAUAGGCCACAUGAGAGCUGAGCCGCGGUCCAUGCGCCUACGGUAGGCAGCAGUAGGGAAUGUGCCGCAAUGGGCGAAAGCCUGACGGAGCAACGCGACGUGAGUGAUGAAGGUCUUCGGAGCGUAAAACUCUGUUAUUAGUGGAGAACAAAUGUGUAAGUAACUGUGCACGACUUGACGGUACCUAAACAGGAAGCCACGGCUAACUACGUG
Molecule: ribosomal RNA, 497 nt
Filed under: uncultured bacterium
Lineage: Bacteria
Description: partial 16S ribosomal RNA
Rfam family: Bacterial small subunit ribosomal RNA
Source: RNAcentral